AACGAGAGGACAAGAGAAGCUUGCUUCUUUUGGAAUCGAGUGGCAAACGGGUGAGUAACACGUAAACAACCUGCCUUCAGGAUGGGGACAACAGACGGAAACGACUGCUAAUACCGAAUACGCUUGGGAGACCGCAUGAUCUUCCAAGGAAAGGGUGGCCUCUACCUGUAAGCUAUCGCCUGAAGAGGGGUUUGCGUCUGAUUAGGCAGUUGGCGAGGUAACGGCCCACCAAACCUACGAUCAGUAGCCGGUCUGAGAGGAUGAACUGCCACACUGGAACUGAGACACGGUCCAGACUCCUACGGGAGGCAGCAGUGGGGAAUCUUCCGCAAUGGGCGAAAGCCUGACGGAGCAACGCCGCGUGAGUGAUGACGGCCUUCGGGUUGUAAAGCUCUGUGAUCGGGGACGAACGGUCCGUAAGUCAAUACCUUAUGGAAGUGACGGUACCCGAAUAGCAAGCCACGGCUAACUACGUGCCAGCAGCCGCGGUAAUACGUAGGUGGCAAGCGUUGUCCGGAAUUAUUGGGCGUAAAGCGCGCGCAGGCGGCUUUCUAAGUCCAUCUUAAAAGUGCGGGGCUUAACCCC
RNAcentral lists this ribosomal RNA (585 nucleotides) under uncultured bacterium. Its description in RNAcentral is "bacterial SSU rRNA". It matches the Rfam family "Bacterial small subunit ribosomal RNA", at positions 65 to 616 of the family's 1533-position model. The record is from RNAcentral.